RNAcentral lists this small RNA (148 nucleotides) under Pongo abelii (Sumatran orangutan). RNAcentral's name for it is "Metazoan signal recognition particle RNA (ENSPPYG00000038332.1)". Lineage: Eukaryota; Metazoa; Chordata; Mammalia; Primates; Hominidae. The record is from Rfam by way of RNAcentral.
GCCGGGUGUGGUGGCGCAUGCCUGUAGUCCCAGCUACUCGGGAGGCGGAGGUAGGAGGAUGGCUUGAACCCAGGAGAUCAAGGCUGCAGUGAGCUAUGAUCGCACCACUGCACUCUAGCCUGGGCAAUAGAGUGAGACUUUGUCUCAA